This 253-nucleotide ribosomal RNA is filed under the name uncultured bacterium. Its description in RNAcentral is "partial 16S ribosomal RNA". It matches the Rfam family "Bacterial small subunit ribosomal RNA", at positions 524 to 776 of the family's 1533-position model. The record is from RNAcentral.
UACGGAGGGGGCUAGCGUUGUUCGGAAUUACUGGGCGUAAAGGGCUCGUAGGCGGCCAACUAAGUCAGACGUGAAAUCCCUCGGCUUAACCGGGGAACUGCGUCUGAUACUGGAUGGCUUGAGUUUGGGAGAGGGAUGCGGAAUUCCUGGUGUAGCGGUGAAAUGCGCAGAUAUCAGGAGGAACACCGGUGGCGAAGGCGGGUCUCUGGGCCGAUACUGACGCUGAGGAGCGAAAGCGUGGGGAGCGAACAGG